UACGUAGGGUGCAAGCGUUAAUCGGAAUUACUGGGCGUAAAGCGUGCGCAGGCGGUUCGGAAAGAAAGGUGUGAAAUCCCAGGGCUUAACCUUGGAACUGCACUUUUAACUACCGGGCUAGAGUACGUCAGAGGGGGGUAGAAUUCCACGUGUAGCAGUGAAAUGCGUAGAGAUGUGGAGGAAUACCGAUGGCGAAGGCAGCCCCCUGGGAUGAUACUGACGCUCAUGCACGAAAGCGUGGGGAGCAAAC
Molecule: ribosomal RNA, 250 nt
Filed under: uncultured bacterium
Lineage: Bacteria
Description: partial 16S ribosomal RNA
Rfam family: Bacterial small subunit ribosomal RNA
Source: RNAcentral